AUUGAACGCUGGCGGCAUGCCUUACACAUGCAAGUCGAACGGCAGCACGGGAGCAAUCCUGGUGGCGAGUGGCGAACGGGUGAGUAAUGUAUCGGAACGUACCUUUCAGUGGGGGAUAACGUAGCGAAAGUCACGCUAAUACCGCAUAUUCUGUGAGCAGGAAAGCAGGGGAUCGCAAGACCUUGCGCUGAUUGAGCGGCCGAUAUCAGAUUAGCUAGUUGGUGAGGUAAAGGCUCACCAAGGCGACGAUCUGUAGCGGGUCUGAGAGGAUGAUCCGCCACACUGGAACUGAGACACGGUCCAGACUCCUACGGGAGGCAGCAGUGGGGAAUUUUGGACAAUGGGCGCAAGCCUGAUCCAGCCAUGCCUCGUGAGUGAAGAAGG
RNAcentral lists this ribosomal RNA (384 nucleotides) under uncultured bacterium. RNAcentral's name for it is "bacterial SSU rRNA". It matches the Rfam family "Bacterial small subunit ribosomal RNA", at positions 30 to 414 of the family's 1533-position model. The record is from RNAcentral.